This 253-nucleotide ribosomal RNA is filed under the name uncultured bacterium. Its description in RNAcentral is "partial 16S ribosomal RNA". It matches the Rfam family "Bacterial small subunit ribosomal RNA", at positions 524 to 776 of the family's 1533-position model. The record is from RNAcentral.
UACGGAGGGUGCAAGCGUUGUCCGGAAUCACUGGGCGUAAAGGGCGCGUAGGCGGCUCAUGAAGGCUGUGGUGAAAGUCUGGGGCUCAACCUCGGAUCGGCCGUGGCGACUCGUGGGCUGGAGCACUGUAGAGGCGGGUGGAAUUCCGGGUGUAGCGGUGGAAUGCGUAGAGAUCCGGAAGAACACCAGUGGCGAAGGCGGCUCACUGGCCCGUUACCGACGCUCAGGCGCGACAGCGUGGGGAGCAAACAGG